CCCUUAGAUGUUCUGGGCCGCACGCGCGCUACACUGAUGCAUUCAACGAGUCUAAAACCUGCUCUGAUAGGGGUGGGUAAUCUUUUGAAUGUGCAUCGUGAUUGGGAUAGAUGAUUGCAAUUUUUCAUCUUCAACGAGGAAUGCCUAGUAAACGCAAGUCAUCAGCUUGCAUUGAUUACGUCCCUGCCCUUUGUACACACCGCCCGUCGCCCCUACCGAUUGAAUGAUCCGAUGAAUAUCAUGGAUUGAGGAUUAUAGCAGGUUCGCCUGUCUUGAUCUUCGAGAAGUGAAGUAAAUCUUAUCAUUUAGAGGAAGGAGAAGUCGUAACA
RNAcentral lists this ribosomal RNA (329 nucleotides) under uncultured eukaryote. RNAcentral describes it as "partial 18S ribosomal RNA". It matches the Rfam family "Eukaryotic small subunit ribosomal RNA", at positions 1470 to 1796 of the family's 1831-position model. The record is from RNAcentral.